RNAcentral lists this small nuclear RNA (134 nucleotides) under Triticum aestivum (bread wheat). RNAcentral describes it as "snRNA U4". It matches the Rfam family "U4 spliceosomal RNA". From Rfam's summary of the family: U4 small nuclear RNA (U4 snRNA) is a component of the major U2-dependent spliceosome. The structure of U4 snRNA from yeast and human has been reported. U4 snRNA presents a k-turn RNA motif in the 5p-SL related to recognition of Snu13 protein. Lineage: Eukaryota; Viridiplantae; Streptophyta; Magnoliopsida; Poales; Poaceae. The record is from Rfam by way of RNAcentral. RNAcentral also lists the same sequence under 1 other name.
AUCUUUGCGCUUCGGGCAAUGACGCAGCUACUGAGGUUAUACCGAGGCGCAUCAAUUGCUGGUUGAAAACUAUUUCCAAACCCCCUCUUUGGCCCUUCAAGGCCACUGAGAAUUUCUGGAAGGGAUCCCUCUCC